This 168-nucleotide microRNA precursor is filed under the name Pelobates cultripes (western spadefoot toad). The record is from RNAcentral. Lineage: Eukaryota; Metazoa; Chordata; Amphibia; Anura; Pelobatidae.
CAGCAGACACAUUCCAGCCAAUCAGCAGCAGACCCUCCCAGACCCUCCCACCUCCUGGACAGUUCACUAAGAAUGCAGCUUCACAAUGAAUGUAAAAUGGAUGCUGUCCAGGAGGUGGGAGGGUCUUGGAGGGAGGGUCUGCUGCUGAUUGGCUGGAAUGUGUCUGCU